GACGAACGCUGGCGGCGUGCCUAAUACAUGCAAGUAGAACGCUGAAGGAAGGAGCUUGCUCUUUCUGGAUGAGUUGCGAACGGGUGAGUAACGCGUAGGUAACCUGCCUGGUAGCGGGGGAUAACUAUUGGAAACGAUAGCUAAUACCGCAUAAAAUUGAUUAUUGCAUGAUAGUCAAUUAAAAGGUGCAACUGCACCACUACCAGAUGGACCUGCGUUGUAUUAGCUAGUUGGUGGGGUAACGGCUCACCAAGGCGACGAUACAUAGCCGACCUGAGAGGGUGAUCGGCCACACUGGGACUGAGACACGGCCCAGACUCCUACGGGAGGCAGCAGUAGGGAAUCUUCGGCAAUGGACGGAAGUCUGACCGAGCAACGCCGCGUGAGUGAAGAAGGUUUUCGGAUCGUAAAGCUCUGUUGUAAGAGAAGAACGAGUGUGAGAGUGGAAAGUUCACACUGUGACGGUAUCUUACCAGAAAGGGACGGCUAACUACGU
Molecule: ribosomal RNA, 496 nt
Filed under: uncultured bacterium
Lineage: Bacteria
Description: partial 16S ribosomal RNA
Rfam family: Bacterial small subunit ribosomal RNA
Source: RNAcentral